AGUAAUAUUAAAAAGGGAGGAAUAAGUUGUUACAAAUUGAAUCUCUAUUUGAUCAAAAGUGGAAUAGAGCUAUAUUUAUAAUUUAAAUACAACUUCCCAAUAGCAUAAGUAAUAAAUCAUCUCUAGCAAUAACAUACAGAUGAUACAAUACAAAUUGAGUUGUUAAAUUUUAAUACAAGCAACUUAUAUGAUGUUUAAAAUAUCUCUAUUUUCAUAACGUCUUUGCAGGUAUAUGCUCGAUGUUUGUCCUCAUGGCAAGAUCGAAAAAAAUAUAGCAGAUCCUCUAAUAACUCUACUGGAUACCUUGAGAUACAUAUUUAAAAAAAUAAGUAAUGACAUAUAAUAAUAUUCUUUCACGAUCCGAAACCAACAAUUCUAUUUAAUAUAUCCUAUUAUCACAUAAAUGCAGUUGUGCUUAGUUGUUCUAUUUUAUAGAACACUCAAAUUAAAAGGAUCAGCAAGUUUCUUUCCUAGUGUCAUUGUUUCAGGAAAUUAGUACCAGCCCUGCAUGCACUUGAAACCACAAAAUGCAAUCAAAUAGGAAGUUGCUCUAGCAAAAUAAUCAUUCAAGAAUCAAAUGCAAAUUUAUCUUACAAAAACUAAGCCAAUCAAACAGUACACUGCUCCAGCAAAUUUAGUAUUCAAGAUACAUAUCAUAUGUAAACAUGACUAAUACUCUUACAUUUAGAAAGAAGUCAAAUUCACAAGCUCACAUUGGUAAAAGAGAUCACAUUAAUUUUAAGAAGUUCCACAUCAGUAAAGAGAUAGAGAAAUUUGUCUCCUUAUAUGAACUUGGAAAAACCUCCACUAAUGAGUUAGCUUUUGAGGUUAAGUUAGCCCAGGUGUCAUAUCUUCACAAUUUGCAGUAUUCACUGUCCAUUUAUGCACUCACUAAUGAUUAUCUCAAACAAAAGCAACAUUAAAAACUGUCCCAUUAAAAUUAAAGGAGUUGAACUGAAAUUUCAUUCACCAAAUUACUCGAAUAUAACUUGUAAAUCCUCAAAAAAGUCAAAUUCAGAAAAUAACAACUUUAAAAACUUAAAUUUUCAAGUACAAUCAUGUUUCAGAGCUAAAUGGGAGUCCUUUAUGAUAUUUUAAACUAUUGGAUGAAAUUAUUGUUGUAAUUUAAUUAAUUUUGCCGACUAUUGGAUGAAACAAACUAUUGGAUGAAAUAUUGUUGUAAUUUAAUUUAGUCCCAAAGUAGAUAGGGAUUUUCAAAAAAAAAGAGUUGCACAUAUGUGUUCCAUGGAAAAACACACAUAUUCCUAAUUUUAGAAUUUUUCAAUCAAUAAAACAAAUACUUCGCAAAACCUAUCUCAAAUAUAGCUAAUUUAAUUACCUCUAAAUGAUGUAUAAGGAAAAAACAGUUGUAUUUAGAAGAAAAAAAACCUGAGAUUAAAUUUAAAGGGGCUCUUGAAUUAUUGGCCAACUAACUUCUAAUCGAGAAAUAAAUACAUGUGGUGGCUUGUGCGAAGGAGUGACAAGUGAAAACUUAUGAAAUCUGUGCCCCAAAUAUGAAGAGAAAUCCCAAAAACUAAAGAUAAUAAUUAUUUACCUGAUAAAAUAUCAGACGCAGAAAAAACAGAGAAGAGCACCAUAGUAGCAACAAUCUUCUCUGCAAUUCCUUGCUCUUUGUUUUGUUUUUAAACAGAGGAGAUAGAGAGCAACAUAGUAGCAGAGGAGAGAUGAAGGAAUUGCUACGUGUCUAUUCAUAAGCAAUAGGUAAGACACGUAUCUAGCCUAAAAAUGCAUUUCAG
This 1757-nucleotide long non-coding RNA is filed under the name Solanum tuberosum (potato). Its description in RNAcentral is "long non-coding RNA (STUB_LNC001598)". The record is from RNAcentral. Lineage: Eukaryota; Viridiplantae; Streptophyta; Magnoliopsida; Solanales; Solanaceae.